CAAGGAUUGGUAUAGUAGCAGAAACUGAAGUUCUCUCUUUGAUUCCAUUUUCUCCUGCCAAAUUUGUCUUGAUUUCAUCCAUAAGGAAAUGAACAUAGGUAAUAAAGUAUACAUCAAAAACAUUGAACAUAUUGAUGAUGAUUCCCAUAUCAAAAUGUGGGUGGUAAAGAUGUGGAACUUUAUUCAGAAUAAUAUGGUUUUAGCAAUCGAAAUGAUUGUAAUUUAUGAGGAGGUUUAUUGUACUAUUUUUUUUAAUAUCCCAUUCAACAUUACAUAUGUUUCAAGCAAUAAAUUAAUUGUUAUUUAUUUCAUUUAACAUGGUAUAAAAUAUCAUUCUCGUGUUUUAAAUCAAAUAUUUUCUAGAUUUGGUGAUCUUUUAAUGGAAGGUCAAACUUAUAUCAUUAAGAACCCAACAUGGCCGCUGUGGACAAUGGUUUUGGUGCUACGUGUCACAAACAAACCAUAACUUUGAAUUGGAGAAGUAUUCUAAAAAAUGUGAGGAUUUUUCAGGUCCGGUGAAUUGUUUUGUAUUUGUUGAUUUUAAUUCUAUUAUCGAACAAACAUGCGCAAGAGACUUAUUCUUUGAUGUUAUUAAGACAAGUUGUCUCAUUUCGGGCACUUGAAACAUUAAAUCCUAACACAUCCAAGUAUUACAUAAAGAUGGUUUCUAGCAACUUACAGCAAUGAUCUUUCUAUUAGUUGGUUCCAUCGUCAAUAUAAGACAGAAUCUACGUUAGUAUUACGAUGCGUGCUCCAAAUGUGGAAAAAAGAUAGACACAUUGCCCAAACUCAAUCAUUUCAUAUACCACCCCAACAAAAUUUCAAAAACUAUUGUUACUCAAUGUAAAGAUGCACGUUGCAACAAUUUGGAUUUUCGUCCGAUUACAAAGUAUAUGAUUCCAAUCAACGUACAAGAUGAUACUGGCACCAUCCGAUUGAUUCUUUUUGACAGGGAAGCGAAGAAGCUAUUGGAUAUAAGUGCAUACCAAUUGAGAAAAAUACAUGAAGAUGUAUACUAUGUUAUUCAUAUUUUUAAAUGAAAAACCAUUUUAUUUGUUUUAAUAUAUUAAACAUCCCUCUUACAGACUGGAGACAGUUUGGAACUAUUUCCAAAGCAAAUUAACGUCUUGAAAAACCCCAACUUUGUUUUUCUUGUGGAUAUUACAUCCUACAAUGUGGACAACUAUAAUAAUAUCUACACCAUUGUCAAAGUUAUAGAAUAUGUGUCCAUUGUUUUUCAAUUGGAAAGUAAAAUAGAACUUACGGUACAUACAUAUAAUGUUCAAAACUUAUAUUUGUUUUUUUAUUUACCUACAUAACAUCUUACAUAUUUCCAUCUUAUUUUCUAGAGUAUUAAAUUUGUGUCCUUAGAUCAAGUAUCUUUGGAAUCGGAUGAUGUUUUGCAGAAUGUUCAAAAGGUAUUUCGAUUCCCAUAUUAAAUUUUAUUUAUAUUUAAUUAUUCCAAUUAACAAUUACGUUUUUUUUUAAUUUAGCAUGUUAUCUCAUAAACGGAUAAGAGUUUUACACCCUCAACAGUUAAUAAAUCAACCGCAACCAGUCCUAUGAAGAUAUCAGCUGAUUUAAAACGCAACCUCCAUGACAUUUAUGAUGUCGAUUGUGUAGAUGAAUUCAAUUCAACAAAAUCUAAAAGAAAAUCAAUCAGAGAGGAUAAUCCACUCUUAGUUCGAACAAUGGAGAAGUGACUUGGGCUUGGUUUUAACAAACAAAAAGUAUUUUUGGAAAUUGGGUUGGUUUUAAAGACUGUUGGG
Long non-coding RNA from Lactuca sativa (garden lettuce), 1769 nucleotides. RefSeq lists it as uncharacterized. NCBI's taxonomy places the organism in Eukaryota, Viridiplantae, Streptophyta, Magnoliopsida, Asterales, Asteraceae. The record is from RefSeq and is a predicted model, not a curated record.